AACGAACGCUGGCGGCGUGCCUAACACAUGCAAGUCGGACGCGAAAGGGGGCAACCCCCGGUAGCGUGGCAGACGGGUGAGUAACACGUGGGCAAUCUGCCCCGAGGUGGGGAAUAACUUUCCGAAAGGAAGGCUAAUACCGCAUGACAUCGCGAGGUCCUCGGGCCUUGCGAUCAAAGCUGGCCUCUGUUUACAAGCUAGCGCCACGGGAGGAGCCCGCGCCCCAUUAGCUAGUUGGUGAGGUAACGGCUCACCAAGGCGACGAUGGGUAGCCGGCCUGAGAGGGUGAUCGGCCACACUGGAACUGAGACACGGUCCAGACUCCUACGGGAGGCAG
RNAcentral lists this ribosomal RNA (337 nucleotides) under uncultured Acidobacteriota bacterium. RNAcentral describes it as "bacterial SSU rRNA". It matches the Rfam family "Bacterial small subunit ribosomal RNA", at positions 29 to 351 of the family's 1533-position model. The record is from RNAcentral. Lineage: Bacteria; Pseudomonadati; Acidobacteriota.